CGGCGAGGAGCCUACCAUGCGCUUCCCCGUGCGGAUGGGGAGAGCCCGGCCACGGGCGAGCUGGACCCGGCUCUGAUCAUUUAUGAUCCUGGGCGCCUCCGCUCCGCCACUUGUCAAGGUGACAGGGUGGGCACUCCAGGUCAGCGGAGUCACCCGAGGAGGCUGGCCUCUCGGGCGAGGCUGAAAGCGCCAGUGACCUGGGCGCGCUGCGCGGGGCUCCGCACCCCGGGACCCCGGGAGCCCCGACCCGGCGGCGGCGGCGGAGCAGCCCCGGGACCUCCCCCCCCCCCCCCCNCACCGGCGGGGGGACGGCUCCUGGAGGGAGGCCUCUAAAGGCUCCGCACCCCGCAUCCUCCCACCCCCACGCAGAUGAGCAGCCCCACGCAGCCCCGGCCUCCACUUUGCGGUGGGAGGGAAAGGAAAGUUUACUGCUCUCCGCAGGAUCACUGCCGCUUUCUACCCACUUAAGUUCCCUGCAACACCCUCGCUCCCGACUCCCCAGCGCCGGGCUCCCGGGCCUGCGGGAAGCCCGCCCGGGGCAGAGGCAGCUCCGGCAGCGGGGCGCUCUGGACACCCGGUCCGCGACCUUGGCGCAGCCGCUCCCGGACCUUCGCCCCCUGGAACCUGCUCCGCACCCACCGCAGCGGGGCUGGGGCGAGCGCGCUCGCGGCGCCCUCCCGGAGCCCUAGCCCCCC
This 695-nucleotide long non-coding RNA is filed under the name Vulpes vulpes (red fox). RNAcentral describes it as "lncRNA (ENSVVUG00000012464.1)". Lineage: Eukaryota; Metazoa; Chordata; Mammalia; Carnivora; Canidae. The record is from RNAcentral.